This 228-nucleotide ribosomal RNA is filed under the name uncultured bacterium. RNAcentral describes it as "partial 16S ribosomal RNA". It matches the Rfam family "Bacterial small subunit ribosomal RNA", at positions 568 to 795 of the family's 1533-position model. The record is from RNAcentral.
UGCGUAGGCGGGCUAAUAAGUCAGUGGUGAAAUCUCUCGGCUCAACCGAGAAACUGCCAUUGAUACUGUUAGUCUUGAGUUCGGUUGAGGUAGGCGGAAUGUGUAAUGUAGCGGUGAAAUGCUUAGAUAUUACACAGAACACCAAUUGCGUAGGCAGCUUACUAGACCGACACUGACGCUGAGGCACGAAAGCGUGGGGAGCGAACAGGAUUAGAUACCCUGGUAGUC